GACGAACGCUGGCGGCGUGCUUAACACAUGCAAGUCGAACGAUGAUGCUGGAGCUUGCUCCAGUUGAUUAGUGGCGAACGGGUGAGUAACACGUGAGCAAUCUGCCCUUGACUCUGGGAUAACUGCGGGAAACUGUAGCUAAUACCGGAUACUUUCACCGGAAGGCAUCUUCUGGUGAUGAAAGAAUUUCGGUCAGGGAUGAGCUCGCGGCCUAUCAGCUUGUUGGUGAGGUAACGGCUCACCAAGGCGACGACGGGUAACCGGCCUGGGAGGGUGACCGGUCACACUGGGACUGGGACACGGCCCAGAGUCCUACGGGAGGCAGCAGUGGGGAAUAUUGCACAAUGGGCGCAAGCCUGAUGCAGCAACGCCGCGUGAGGGAUGAAGGCCUUCGGGUUGUAUACCUCUUUUAGCAGGGAAGAAGCGAAAGUGACGGUACCUGCAGAAAAAGCACCGGCUAACUACGUGCCAGCCGCCGCGGUAA
This 484-nucleotide ribosomal RNA is filed under the name uncultured bacterium. RNAcentral describes it as "partial 16S ribosomal RNA". It matches the Rfam family "Bacterial small subunit ribosomal RNA", at positions 28 to 523 of the family's 1533-position model. The record is from RNAcentral.